AACGCGAAGAACCUUACCUGGGUUAGACAACGUCGGACAGUCCUAGAGAUAGGAUUUCCCCUUCGGGGGCCGGCGGUGCAGGUGCUGCAUGGCUGUCGUCAGCUCGUAUCGUGAGAUGUCGGGUUAAGUCCCUUAACGAGCGCAACCCUUGUCCCUAGUUGCCAGCAUUCAGUUGGGCACUCUAGGGAGACUGCCGGUGUUAAACCGGAGGAAGGUGGGGAUGACGUCAAGUCCUCAUGGCCCUUAUGUCCAGGGCAACACACGUGCUACAAUGGCCGGUACAGAGGGUCGCCAACCCGCGAGGGGGAGCUAAUCUCAGAAAGCCGGUCUCAGUUCGGAUUGAAGUCUGCAACUCGACUUCAUGAAGCUGGAAUCGCUAGUAAUCGCGGAUCAGAACGCCGCGGUGAAUACGUUCCCGGGCCUUGUACACACCGUACGUC
RNAcentral lists this ribosomal RNA (440 nucleotides) under uncultured bacterium. RNAcentral describes it as "bacterial SSU rRNA". It matches the Rfam family "Bacterial small subunit ribosomal RNA", at positions 958 to 1398 of the family's 1533-position model. The record is from RNAcentral.